RNAcentral lists this ribosomal RNA (494 nucleotides) under uncultured bacterium. RNAcentral describes it as "partial 16S ribosomal RNA". It matches the Rfam family "Bacterial small subunit ribosomal RNA", at positions 29 to 507 of the family's 1533-position model. The record is from RNAcentral.
ACGAACGCUGGCGGCGUGCCUAAUACAUGCACGUAGAACGCUGAAGGAGGAGCUUGCUUCUCUGGAUGAGUUGCGAACGGGUGAGUAACGCGUAGGUAACCUGCCUGGUAGCGGGGGAUAACUAUUGGAAACGAUAGCUAAUACCGCAUAAGAGUAGAUGUUGCAUGACAUUUGCUUAAAAGGUGCAAUUGCAUCACUACCAGAUGGACCUGCGUUGUAUUAGCUAGUUGGUGGGGUAACGGCUCACCAAGGCGACGAUACAUAGCCGACCUGAGAGGGUGAUCGGCCACACUGGGACUGAGACACGGCCCAGACUCCUACGGGAGGCAGCAGGAGGGAAUCUUCGGCAAUGGACGGAAGUCUGGCCGAGCAACGCCGCGUGAGUGAAGAAGGGUUUCGGAUCGGAAAGCUCUGUUGUAAGAGAAGAACGAGUGUGAGAGUGGAAAGUUCACACUGUGACGGUAUCUUACCAGAAAGGGACGGCUAACUACGUG